RNAcentral lists this ribosomal RNA (115 nucleotides) under Spiridens vieillardii. RNAcentral's name for it is "partial 5.8S ribosomal RNA". It matches the Rfam family "5.8S ribosomal RNA", at positions 44 to 154 of the family's 154-position model. Rfam says of the family: 5.8S ribosomal RNA (5.8S rRNA) is a component of the large subunit of the eukaryotic ribosome. It is transcribed by RNA polymerase I as part of the 45S precursor that also contains 18S and 28S rRNA. Functionally, it is thought that 5.8S rRNA may be involved in ribosome translocation. The record is from RNAcentral. Lineage: Eukaryota; Viridiplantae; Streptophyta; Bryopsida; Hypnodendrales; Spiridentaceae.
CGCAGCGAAAUGCGAUACGUAGUGUGAAUUGCAGAAUUCCGCGAAUCAUCGAGUCUUUGAACGCAACUUGCGCCCGAGGCUCGUCCGAGGGCAUUUCCGCCAGAGCGUCAACGCG